AGUUAAAAAUCAUCAUUUGUGUUCUACUGAAGAAACAAAGUCACCUACAUCUUGGAUGCCCUGGGGGUAAGCAGAUAAACAUCACAUUUUCAUUUUUGGGGAACUAUCCCUUUAAAAUAUUUUCUCUUCAUUUGUAUUCUCAAAUGAAAGAAAACAAAACAUUACUUCUAAUACUACUACUACAAAAAUGUAAACAAUUUGAACUACUACACUGAUGUGAAGCUGUAUGAUUUUUAACCUUCCAUUUCUGUUCUCCUGCAGUGCAUGAGAUCUGCAUCAUCUCCAGGUAGAGCACACCCAAAGCCUCACUGCACCAAAGGGAAAACAUCUAGGAGGAUCUUGCCACGUCUGUCAAUUAGGUAUCUCUGCAGAACAAAAAGGCUGUUUCCCAAUCAGUAGGCAUUUGUCAACCACUUUGCCUGAAUUCCUUAAAUCAUAAAGGCCCACCCCAGUGGAUUAAAGCAAGUUGGGUAAAGUGGUUGAAAACCACCCGUUGUGGAUUUUACCAAUGCACAAAUGACUGGGGAACACCCGUUAGCAUUCUGCAGAGAUACCUACUUGCACAUCUCAGACACGGGUCCAGGAUGAGAACCUGGUUGGCUUGGACUUGUCACCCUCACAUCCUGAAUCUUUCUGGAUCACCUCACAUUGUCACAGGUAAUAUCAAAGUAGCCGGUACUAACACUAACAUGCACUCCGCAGUUGGACAUAAUUAAGAGGUAACAUUUAAAUGUAUUUGUAUAUAAAAACAUCAGAUUAAUGUCUUGAAUGCAAAUUUAUUUUAAAACAGAGAAACAAAAACACAUAUAUUAAACAAGCAGACAUAACAAUAAAUUAAAACAUCAAACUGACAGUUGAAAUGAGUUAUAUAAAUUGAACACACUAUUUUACUACUAUUAGACUACUAUUUACUACUGUUACUAGACUAUUUUGAAAUGAGUUUUUUAAAUUGAACACUAUUUUACUAUUAAACUACUAUUUACUACUGUUACUGGACUAUUUUGAAAAUGAAUAAUAUAUAAAUUGAACACACUAUUUUACUAUUGCACUACUAUUUACUUCCUUUUAGCUCUUCUCUGAAAAUAAAAUUAGCUCUCUGAUUCUGCAAACUCCACAUCCAGCACACGGUUGUGUGUAUGCUGGAUUUUUACUUUGGUUGGGAGUUUGGCGAUUAAAUCCACCACCCUCCCAUUGUACAGUUUUUCUGGAAUGCUGAAUUCCUCAAAAUUGCUGCAGAGGAGAGUGAGGUUUCCAUUUUCUUCGGAGACUCCAAUGAUGUCCAUGUACUCCGUCACUACUUUCCUCUUAGCAGUCUGCAUCAUAAAGAAAAUACAAUUUAUAAUCUGGCUUGACAUCUUGUUACAGAGAUUUCACUCAAAUAAAAAUUGUGAUUUACCCACUUUCAUCAAUAUUGCUAUAGCAGAAUUAAGGAAACUUUCGUUGGGAAUGUGUCAACUUGGAAUGUGUAUGCCUUGAAUGUGAUGAAAGUUUAACUUUUGAAAAACGCAUAUCAACAUCUUGCAUUUUCUCACGUUUUUAGAUGCACAGACAUGUUGUUUGAACCGGCCCUAAGUUGUUUCUACUGGCUGGCAAGUCUAUGCAGUCAUCGCACCAGCACUGUGUGGGAUGAGGAAUUCAAUUUUCCUCUUCCAUUCCCCAAAAGAAAAAUUUUGAGGUGUGUGAGCUCCACCUCAUCUUUGAGGUAGAGCUCACACAGAGCCUCAUCUCUCCAGAGAGAAACUUCCAGCAGCUUUUGGCCACAUCUUAAGGUGAGGUCCAGGAUGGGGACAUGGCUGCCUUGGU
Ctenopharyngodon idella (grass carp) is the source of this 1803-nucleotide long non-coding RNA. RefSeq lists it as uncharacterized. The transcript is spliced from 3 exons. Lineage: Eukaryota; Metazoa; Chordata; Actinopteri; Cypriniformes; Xenocyprididae. The record is from RefSeq and is a predicted model, not a curated record.